Equus quagga is the source of this 535-nucleotide long non-coding RNA. RefSeq lists it as uncharacterized. The transcript has 4 exons. The record is from RefSeq and is a predicted model, not a curated record. NCBI's taxonomy places the organism in Eukaryota, Metazoa, Chordata, Mammalia, Perissodactyla, Equidae.
CCCUCCGGGCGGGGCCCGGCAGACGCCCCCGCCCCGCCCCGCCCCGCCGCGCCCCGCAGGAGCCGCCUCCUCCCGCCCGCCGGCACGGCGCCUGUCCCCUGGUCCCGGCGCCCCAUCUCGGGGCCGCCGAAGGGUCUGGGGGCUCCGGCGGGGGGGGAGGCGCGAUCCGAGUCCGUGGGAGCCUCCCCAGCCCCGCAGUCCCAGCAGCAAACCAAGCUUGGCCGGACGGAUGCUCGCGCCGAGAAAGAAGAAUCACUCACACGGCUCAAAAUUCAAAAGGAACAAAACGCACACCGUCACUACACAAUUCAAGUUCUGUUUCUACAACUUCACUGUCACCGACUUGGGGCUUGGAGACACAAAUGGCGCCUGAAGCCGCUUGGUUGGUUCCACCCCCACCCCCAACAGGUGCAGAGGCCAAACGUGGAGUUAGCAGUUGUCGGAAUUACGUCCGUGUAGAACACAGGGCUAAUUAAAGAUCGUCCCUGAGCUAACAUCUGUGCCAAUCUUCCUCUAUUUUGUAUGUGGGUCGCCG